RNAcentral lists this ribosomal RNA (497 nucleotides) under uncultured bacterium. RNAcentral describes it as "partial 16S ribosomal RNA". It matches the Rfam family "Bacterial small subunit ribosomal RNA", at positions 28 to 507 of the family's 1533-position model. The record is from RNAcentral.
GAUGAACGCUGGCGGCGUGCCUAAUACAUGCAAGUAGAACGCUGAAGGAAGGAGCUUGCUCUUUCCGGAUGAGUUGCGAACGGGUGAGUAACGCGUAGGUAACCUGCCUGGUAGCGGGGGAUAACUAUUGGAAACGAUAGCUAAUACCGCAUAACAGUAGAUGUUGCAUGAUAUCUACUUAAAAGGUGCAAUUGCACCACUACCAGAUGGACCUGCGUUGUAUUAGCUAGUUGGUGAGGUAACGGCUCACCAAGGCGACGAUACAUAGCCGACCUGAGAGGGUGAUCGGCCACACUGGGACUGAGACACGGCCCAGACUCCUACGGGAGGCAGCAGGAGGGAAUCUUCGGCAAUGGACGGAAGUCUGACCGAGCAACGCCGCGGGAGUGAAGAAGGUUUUCGGAUCGUAAAGCUCUGUUGUAAGAGAAGAACGAGUGUGAGAGUGGAAAGUUCACACUGUGGCGGUAUCUUACCAGAAAGGGACGGCUAACUACGUG